Molecule: ribosomal RNA, 497 nt
Filed under: uncultured bacterium
Lineage: Bacteria
Description: partial 16S ribosomal RNA
Rfam family: Bacterial small subunit ribosomal RNA
Source: RNAcentral
GAUGAACGCUGGCGGCGUGCCUAAUACAUGCAAGUCGAGCGAACGGACGAGGAGCUUGCUCCUCUGAUGUUAGCGGCGGACGGGUGAGUAACACGUGGAUAACCUACCUAUAAGACUGGGAUAACUACGGGAAACCGGAGCUAAUACCGGAUAAUAUUUUGAACCGCGUGGGUCAAAAGUGAAAGACGGUCUUGGUGUCACUUAUAGAUGAAUCCGCCCUGCAUCAGUUAGUUGGUAAGGUGACGGCUUAGCAAGGCAACGAUGCAUAGCCGACCUGAGAGCGUGGUCGGAUAGACUGGAAGUGAGACACGGUACAGACACCUACGCGAGGCAGCAGUAGGGAAUCUUCCGCGAGGGGCGAGAGGCUGAUAGAGCAAAGCCGCGUGAGUGAUGAAGGUCCUCUGAUCGGAAAGCUCUGUUAGUAGGAGAGAACAAAUGUGUAAGUAACUGUGAUGAUCUUGACGGUACCGAGUGAGUAAGCCCCGGCUAACUCCGUG